Molecule: unclassified non-coding RNA, 380 nt
Filed under: uncultured Pseudobdellovibrionaceae bacterium
Lineage: Bacteria; Pseudomonadati; Bdellovibrionota; Bdellovibrionia; Bdellovibrionales; Pseudobdellovibrionaceae
Description: uncultured Bdellovibrionaceae bacterium contains 16S-23S intergenic spacer region
Source: RNAcentral
UCCAGUUUAACACUGGCAGUCUCCUUAGAGUCCCCAACUUAAUGCUGGUAACAAAGGACGUGGGUUGCGCUCGUUACGGGACUUAACCCAACAUCUCACGACACGAGCUGACGACAGCCAUGCAGCACCUGUCUCAUUGUCUUCUUGCGAAGAAAACCGACUUUCAUCGGCGGUCAAUGGAUGUCAAGACCAGGAUAAGGUUCUUCGCGUUGCAUCGAAUUGAACCACAUGCUCCACUGCUUGUGCGGGUCCCCGUCAAUUUCUUUGAGUUUUAAUCUUGCGACCGUACUCCCCAGGCGGGAUGCUUAACGCGUUAGCUUCGUCACUGAAAGGGUUAACACUUCCAACGACAAGCAUCCAUCGUUUAAGGCAUGGACUAC